Molecule: long non-coding RNA, 1703 nt
Organism: Lontra canadensis (Northern American river otter)
Lineage: Eukaryota; Metazoa; Chordata; Mammalia; Carnivora; Mustelidae
Exons: 4
Source: RefSeq, a predicted model, not a curated record
UAAAAAGCAUGAAAAUAGAAUGAUUAAAUUCCACCAAAGGCAAUUAAAAAUCCCAACUUCCCAUAAAGCGUUCCCUACACCAAACGGAGUACCUUUACUUUCAUUCUCCCAAAGUAAGUAAUCUGGGCUAAGAGUCGGAUAAUGAGUCUGAUGUGUCUGACACAAAUGAGACGAAGGAACCUAACUGAAGCUACAGAGGCAAAGAAAUGUAACCUAAAGGGGAGAGGAAAGCUGGAAGAGAAACCCGAGAAGGGAACGGACAGAAGAGACUGACUAGUGGAGCAAAGGAGUGGGAAUCACUUCAAGGGAGAGAGCCUCCAGGACUGCGGAGAAACAGGGAUCUAGGUCCACGGAACCGGGCGUUUACGGAACCCGAAGGCUAAUGGGGAAACAAUGGGGGCGGUGAGACCGGGAGCAAACCGAGAGACGCUCAGGAGAGGGCGACUAGGCAGCACGGGACGGGGGUGGGGGGCGUAUGAAAGAGCAGAAGGCUGCAGUAGACAGAGGCGGUAGGGAGGUGAAAAGCUACGUGGAGAGGCAAGUUGGUCGAGUGUGAUGGGGUUUCGUGGCGCACCGGGCAGGAAAGCGAGGGUCUUCUAGGUACCCGGGGGUGGGGGAGUGGCUUAUCAGGGAUUUUUAGACAGGGAACGGAAGCCGUGAAGGCAGGUGUGAUGGAAGCAAAAAGCACACACCUCGGAGCAGCACAGGACCCGCCGUGCCAGACAAGACGACGGGAAGGAAGAGGCAGCUGAAGGGACCAUGGUGAACCAUGUGGAAUUGCUGAUGCUGGGUGAAGCCAGAAUAUGAGGAUACUCUAAAGUGAUUUUCGGCACAGUAAGAAUGGAAGAAUAAGAGGCAAAUGGCUUCAUCUGGGCCUCAAAUUCCUCUUCUGCAAAGGAAGAGGAUUGAGAAGGGCUCCAAAUUGCAAGUCCUUUGGCUGUCCAAAGCCAGAGAGAAUAAAAUCCUCCCAUCCUUACCCUGACUCUUGAAAGUAGCUGAGCAGAGACAUGCCUUUGUUUGAACAUGGAUGGAAGAACUUGGUGCUCUGCACGAACACCGAAGCUUCCCCAGACUCCUGAGAAGCUGGUGGGACUCACUGCACACAGCACAUGAGAGGAAACCUCUCCCCUUCAUGCAAGGUUGGCCUCGCUUGGAGCAGUUGCAGAUUAAGAGACAGAGUUCUUGGCCUUAGUUCUUAAGACUCUGACACCUGAGAGUCAUCAUUCCAGUUGGAAUGAAAGCAACAUGGAACAUAUAGGUGUGGAGGGAUCAGCAAGCCAGGAAACAAAGACCAACAUGGCAAUAACAACUCUCCACAUGUGUGCAGCAUUUCCUGUAUUCCCGGUGCUUCCUUAAAUUAUUUGUUUUAAUCCUUACAACAGGCUGAGGGGUGGUAACAUUUAAAAGUGUAGACAUGAAGCUUCAAGGAGUUAAGUGACUCGCCCAAGGCCUCCUUGUUGGUAAACAGAGACCCGAGGGAAUUGAAUUGAGGUCUCUCUGACUCCAAAGUCUAAGCUCUUAACCACUCAUGCUAAUCAUUAACCGCACUUGCCUAACCAUUCAAUCUGUUCUUGGAGGUCCAUACUGGACACUAAAUUCUAAACACGUUCUGUGUUUUAUUUAUUGCUUUAUUUUUAUUUAUGUAAAAGCUAAAUGUAUAGUUCUCAUCCUGUAAGAUGAACACUAUCGUUCUCAGCUAAUCU